RNAcentral lists this long non-coding RNA (328 nucleotides) under Pelobates cultripes (western spadefoot toad). Lineage: Eukaryota; Metazoa; Chordata; Amphibia; Anura; Pelobatidae. The record is from RNAcentral.
UUGUAGAUUAUUUAAAGAAAUAAUCCAUGCAAAAUAACCACUACUGCUCCAGAGUAAGUAGUCAAACCGUUUAAGAACAGUUUGACAACUUACCUGGGGUCUGCUGGGAUAUGGGGCUGUAGUAGGGAAUAGGAGCAGUGGUGCAAUGUGUGUGAAAGGUUCAGUGUGUGUGGGGGUGUAGUGUGUGAAUGUGUAGGGUGUGUGGGGCAAUGUGUGUAUGAGGGGGCUGUGUAUGUGUGUGGCAAUGUUAGCAUGGGGGGCUGUGUGUAUAUGGGUGGGCAGUGUAUGUGUGUGUGUGAGGCAAUGUGUGUAAAUGUGUAUGGUGUGU